GUUGUGGCUUGGUGGUAGAGUACUUGCCUAGCACGUGUGAGGCACUGGGUUCAAUUCUCAAAACAACA
Molecule: transfer RNA, 68 nt
Filed under: Marmota monax (woodchuck)
Lineage: Eukaryota; Metazoa; Chordata; Mammalia; Rodentia; Sciuridae
Description: tRNA.Ala
Source: RNAcentral